GUAGUCAUAUGCUUGUCUCAAAGAUUAAGCCAUGCAUGUCUAAGUAUAAGCAACUUGUACAGUAAAACUGCGAAUGGCUCAUUAAAUCAGUUAUCGUUUAUUUGAUAAUCCCUUACUACAUGGAUACCUGUGGUAAUUCUAGAGCUAAUACAUGCUUCAAGGAGUGGCUUUCGUCACUCUGCACUUAUUAGAUAAAAAACCAAUGCCCCUUUGGGGCUCCCUGGUGAUUCAUAAUAAUUUAGCGGACCGCAUUCCCUCGAGGAGGCGGUGGAUCAUUCAAAUUUCUGCCCUAUCAACUUUCGAUGGUAGGAUAGUGGCCUACCAUGGUGGCAACGGGUAACGGGGAAU
RNAcentral lists this ribosomal RNA (348 nucleotides) under uncultured fungus. Its description in RNAcentral is "SSU rRNA". It matches the Rfam family "Eukaryotic small subunit ribosomal RNA", at positions 20 to 370 of the family's 1831-position model. The record is from RNAcentral. Lineage: Eukaryota; Fungi.